RNAcentral lists this long non-coding RNA (416 nucleotides) under Bos taurus (domestic cattle). RNAcentral describes it as "long non-coding RNA NONBTAT011946". The record is from RNAcentral. Lineage: Eukaryota; Metazoa; Chordata; Mammalia; Artiodactyla; Bovidae.
CAAGGGAAGCCAGAAUAGUUGCUGAUCCUUUCAUUCUAGAAAGCUUCCCAGUGGAGAUGGGACUUCAGGAGCUAUUAAGUAGAAAUAGUUUAUGAAGGAAGAAGUAGGUGGGAAAUUGUGUUUAGUUACUCUGUAUGCGAGACUUAAAUGAAUGGAUUAAUCUCCACUGGAAACCCAAACUGAACACCACCCUGAGCCUUGCGCCUGCCCUGAUAGCUUAAAUCUUUAUUUUAUACUCAGCCCAGGAGUCAAACAGGUGAGGCAAUCGUGGCAGACAGUUCAUCAUGCCUUGCAAACUUUCUUCCUAUGUAUGUUCUGUAGUCAUCAUACCAGGAGCUUGCUAUUGGAUCUGAAUGUGCAGCUGAGCUCAGGGGGAUGCAUGGUGGGAAGGGGUGGACUCCAAAUCUUCUAAAUCA